UAGUAGGUGAAUUUUAGGAAUCUUUUUAUUGCUUUCAUUUGAAGUGGAAAUUUACAUCAACGUGAUGUUCUACAACUUGGCGACAAUAUUUAGUUACAACUUGAACCUGUUCAUAUUUUACUACGAGCACAUGAUAGUUUUACGAACUGUAUACACAUCAUAUUUCAAUACAGUAACAAGUAAUAGCACCAACGAUCCAAAAACUGUUAUUCGAAUUUUUACCAAGCCUUAUAAAAUAUCUAACGAUAUUAACAAAACGUUUCAAAUUCCUAUUCUUUUACGAAUUUUCACCGACUUUGUUCUAACCAUAACCAUAGUGUUUUUUUACUUGUCAGUGGCACUGUGUUUUUUUCCUGGAAUAACUUUUAACUUACUAUGUGGUGUUGGAAAUAAUUGUCUGGUUAACAAAAAUCUUAUUUGCCAUUUUUAUCAUGGCGAAUUUUUUCGACCAAACUACCGAAAUGGUAAGCAAUAAAAACAUUACAAUAAUUAAUUGCCUUGAUCUUAUAGAAAAAUACAAUGACUGAAAUAAUCGACGAUUUACCAUCGUCACACUCACUGAGUAAAAUGCUUUCCAAUUAUAAAAAAGUCGUACAGAAAUUGGUUAACACAUAAAAUUUUACAAUUUCAUUUCAGAAAGAAUUGCUUCGCUUAAAACUAAAACACGAAGAUGUCUGUUUCAAUGUUUGUGGCUUCUUCCCUUUAAAUAAUUCUUUUAUUUAUAUGGUGGUAUCUGGUAUCACAACAUACACGAUUUAUUUAGUACAGUUUGGGCCAAUCAAUAAUCCAAAAUUUAAUCCAGUGCAAAAUACACAAAUUAAUUAAUAUUUUAACAAACCGAAGUAAUUAUGAAAUUUCGUUCAAACAAAUGUUCUUUUAUAACUUUGUUUCUGUAUGUAGGACAUAGUUAAUACAGUUGAUGGUGUUUAUUACUUUAAUUUAAUUAUCUUUUAUUACUUGAUAGUUGUCUCUUGUUGCAUUAAAUGAUUAGCAGUACAAUAUAAAUUCAACUGAAAAGACUUGUAUUCAAAAGCUUAUAGCUUUGAACACUUGCAAAACCAGUGCGAGAUGAACAUAACCGAAACCGCUAUACUGAUAUGUAAAAUUUGGGGUUUUACUGGUUUACCACAGUUUAAAUUCGAAAAUGGAAAAUUUGAAUAUAAGAAAUCAAAAUCAUCGAUAAUUUUAAUUUUUAUUGUAAUACUAAGCAUUGUGUUUUUUAUUAAGUCCUUACACACGACAAAGGACUUAUUAUUUUAUUUAACUAUUUUACAAACAGGUUCAUUAUAUUUAUUAGUCACUGGUUUGGGGAUUCAUUCAUAUUUAAAAAAAAGACAAAUUGCAAUAAUUCUAAACGAUUUGAUAAUGGUAACAAAAAUGGUGUGUCAAUUCUCUAGAAAUAAUGAUCUCCUUCGGAACAGCGUUUCGAAGCCAUUGUUUUGGUAUUUAAUUGUACAAGUGGCCAUAACUGGAAACAAGAUUUUGGGAGCUGUUUUAACAAUCUCACCUGACGCUGAAGUUUACCUAAACGUUCUCUUCUACAACUUUGCGGAAUUGUUUAGUUACAAUAUAAACAUACUCAUAUUUUUCUACUUGAUAAUUUUUCAAAAUGCAUACACAUCAUAUUUUAAAGCAAUAACACGUAAAAACACCUACAACGAUCCGAAAAUUGUUGUUCAAAUUUUUUACAAAUUUUACGAGAUUUCCAACAAUAUUAACGAAACCCUCCAAGUGCCUAUUCUUUUGAGAAUUUUCACCGACUUUGUUUUUACUAUAUCUUCAAUGUUUUACUUAUCGGUUUUUUUGUAUAUUAUACCCGAAUUAUCUUUCUUUGUUCUGGCAAAAAUGGUUCUUUGGUUAGUAAAUACCUUAUUCGCCAUUUUUAUCAUGGCGUAUUUUUUCGACCAAAUGACAGAAAAGGUAAGUUUCAAAAAAUUACAAUUAAUAUUACUUAAAAUUACAGAGAAAUACAAUAAUGGAAACGCUUGAGGACUUACCAUCGUCACACACUCUUAUCAGUAAAUUUCAUUCCUCUUACAAAAGAAAAGAACUACUUCGGUUAAGACUAAAACACGAACGGUUCUGUUUUAAUGUAUGUGGUUUUUUUCCUUUGAAUAAUUCUUUCAUCUACUUGAUGAUAGCUGGAAUCGUAACGUACACGACUUAUCUAGUGCAGUUCGGAAAAGCCGCAAAUGCAAAACAAUAGAAAUGUAGUAAUUGUACAGUAAACAGAUCUGAAAAUGUCUCCAUAAAACAAACCCCUGCUAUUAGUGUCGUCCUUCUGAACGCAACCAUUGCCAGCAAUAAAUCAUUAUCGCUUCGUAAACUUGAAAAUACCCUCAGAGAAAUUUGGCGAGUUUUGUAAUCACAAAUAUUUGAUUGCAAUUUUAUGUAAUUAAUAAAUUAGUGUAAAUAAAGUAAAAUUAUUUAAUAAUGGCCCGAAUUCUUAUCUCAUCAUUAAGGAUGUGAUUAGCUAAAUACGCUAUUAAACUAAACAUAAAACGAUAUAGAUUUAUGUAAAUCUAAUGUUGUAGAAAGAGAUGCAAACGUUGCCAUGGAAGUUAGAGACGUUAUUAAAUUUAAUAAUGGGAUAAGAAUUCGGGCCAAUGUGUUUAAAUUCUUCUG
Molecule: RNA transcript, 2625 nt
Organism: Tribolium castaneum (red flour beetle)
Lineage: Eukaryota; Metazoa; Arthropoda; Insecta; Coleoptera; Tenebrionidae
Exons: 4
Source: RefSeq, a predicted model, not a curated record